AAGUGACGAUAGCCUAGGAGAUACACCUGUUCCCAUGCCGAACACAGAAGUUAAGCCCUAGUACGCCUGAUGUAGUUGGGGGUUGCCCCCUGUUAGAUAUGGUAGUCGCUUAGC
This 114-nucleotide ribosomal RNA is filed under the name Streptococcus salivarius. The record is from RNAcentral. Lineage: Bacteria; Bacillati; Bacillota; Bacilli; Lactobacillales; Streptococcaceae.